GACGAACGCUGGCGGCGUGCUUAACACAUGCAAGUCGAACGAUGAACCCGGAGCUUGCUCCGGUGGAUUAGUGGCGAACGGGUGAGUAACACGUGAGUAACCUGCCCUUGACUCUGGGAUAACUGCGGGAAACUGUAGCUAAUACCGGAUACGACCCUCGGCGGCAUCGCCAGGGGGUGGAAAGAAUUUCGGUCAAGGAUGGACUCGCGGCCUAUCAGCUAGUUGGUGAGGUAACGGAUCACCAAGGCGACGACGGGUAGCCGGCCUGGGAGGGGGACCGGCCACACUGGGACUGAGACACGGCCCAGACUCCGACGGGAGGCAGCAGUGGGGAAUAUUGGGCAAUGGGCGCAAGCCUGACCCAGCGACGCCGCGUGAGGGAUGAAGGCCUUCGGGUUGUAAACCUCUUUCAGUAGGGAAGAAGCGAAAGUGACGGUACCUAAAGAAGAAGCACCGGCUAACUAUGUGCCAGCCGCCGCGGUAA
RNAcentral lists this ribosomal RNA (484 nucleotides) under uncultured bacterium. Its description in RNAcentral is "partial 16S ribosomal RNA". It matches the Rfam family "Bacterial small subunit ribosomal RNA", at positions 28 to 523 of the family's 1533-position model. The record is from RNAcentral.